GUUACAAUCAAGGACUUACGCCGUAGACCGCGAAUGAAACUUCGAAGCGCCUCCUAUGCUAAACAACAGCGUCGUUUUCCCGUGGGUGUUCGAGACAGAAUUCGAAACAUGUUUGAGUCGUGACGAGACUUAGAGAAUCGGAGUGCGCCAGAGUCGAGCGUCGAGUUACCAGUUCGUCCUUUUCUGAGACUGGACGGGGAAACAGUUGCUGUGUCGCCGCACGUAUGUAAAGGCGACAGAAUGAACGGAGGGGAUUAGGGGCCAGACGAUAAAGAGUUAAGUCAGGUAAAGAGUCUAAGAUUACUUGCACGGGAAAUAAACGUGAUGAGGAGAGGUCAGUUUUAUUGAGUAAAAUGAGGUAUUUCCUUAAUCAGGAGCUGUUUCUCUCUUUCUCUCUCUCUCUCGCUUUUAUUUCUAUACUUUCAACUUUUAUUCAUAUUUCUUGGAAGAAGUCUUUCGCCAUGUUUGGAGAUUUUGGUAUAAUAUUUUAGGCCUUAAUUAGUAACAAAAUAUUUGCUCUGACUUUUAUUUUACCAUCAGCAUUUUUCUUUCUUUCUUUGUAAGUUUUUCAUUUCUUUGAAAAAAAAAAAAA
Long non-coding RNA from Penaeus monodon (black tiger shrimp), 592 nucleotides. RefSeq lists it as uncharacterized. The record is from RefSeq and is a predicted model, not a curated record. NCBI's taxonomy places the organism in Eukaryota, Metazoa, Arthropoda, Malacostraca, Decapoda, Penaeidae. The transcript is spliced from 2 exons.